This 3241-nucleotide ribosomal RNA is filed under the name Durio zibethinus. Its description in RNAcentral is "eukaryotic LSU rRNA". It matches the Rfam family "Eukaryotic large subunit ribosomal RNA". The record is from RNAcentral. Lineage: Eukaryota; Viridiplantae; Streptophyta; Magnoliopsida; Malvales; Malvaceae.
ACCACCCCAGGUCAAGUGGGAUUACCCACUAUGUUUAAGCAUAUCAAUAAAUGGUGGAAAAGAAAUUUACCAAGAUUCACCUUGUAGUGGCAAGCAAACUAAGAAGAGCCUAGCUUGAGAAUUGGGCACCCCUAGCAUUCGAAUUGUAGUCUAGAGAAGCAUCUUUAAUGGCAGACCAGGCCUAAGUCCCCUGAAAAGGGGGCACCAAAAAAGGUAAGAGCCCUAUUGUGCCUGGACCAUGUCCCACAAUGAGGUGUAGUUUGUGAGUCAAGUUGUUUGGGAAUGUAACCCAAAUCGAGCAAGUAAAUUCUAUCUAAGGCUAAAUGCAGGUGAGUGACUGAUAGCAAAAAGGUACCAUAGAGGAAAGAUGAAAAGGUCUUUGAAAGAGAUUCAAAUAGUGCUUGAAAUUGUUAUGAGGGAAGUAAAUGGGGGCUAGCUAUGCACCUUGGUUAGACAUAGAGUGACGACAGUCGGUUUAUAGAUUGGCUCGAAGCAUGGACUGAUGUGGGUCAUGGUGGCGGCCUAAGCUUGGGCUUUCGAUAUGCCUAUGGAGAUGUCAUUUUUGUAAUUAUGGAAUGCAACACAAGUCAUCUCAGUGUGCCUUGGCACUUACAUGCUCUCGACAUUGGCCUAUAGGCUAUUCAUCCAGCUUAUCUUGAAACAUGAACCAAGGAGUUUGACAUGUGUGCAAGUCAACAAGCUAAAAAACCCAUAAGGUGCAAGGAAGCUAAUUGGUGAGAUCCCUCAUGGGUGCACCACUGACUGACCUUGAUCUUCUGAGAAGGGUUCGAGUGUAAGCAUGCCUGUUGGGACCGAAAAGAUGGUGAACUAUGCUUGAGUAGGGUAAAGCUAGAGGAAACUCUGAUGGAGGCCUAUAGUGAUAUUAACAUGCAAAUCAUUUGUCUGACUUGGGUUUAGGGGUGAAAGACUAAUCGAACCAUCUAGUAGCUAGUUCCCUCUGAAGUUUCCUUCAAGAUAGCUGGAGCCCUUAGCAAGUUCUAUUGGGUCAAGCCAAUGAUUAGAGGCAUCAAGGGUGCAAUGCCUUCAACCUACUCUCAAACUUUAAAUAGGUAGGAUGGUGAAGCUACUUCAUUGAGCCGUGCCAUAGAAUUGAGAGCUCUAAGUGGACCAUUUUUGGUAAGCAAAACUGGCAAUAAGGGAUGAACUGGAAGCUGAGUUAUGGUGCCCAACUGUGUGAUAACCUAGAACCCAUAAAGGGUGAUGGUCGAUUAAGACAGUAGCAUAAGGGUCAUGAAAGUUGAAAUCCUCUGAGUGUGUAACAACUUACCUAUCAAAUCAACUAGCCUAAAAAAUGGAUGGCAUUUAAAUGUGUGACCUAUACACAACUAUCAGGGCAAGGGCAAGGGCAAAGGCCGGGCCCCAAUGAGUAGAAAGGCAUGGUGCUCGCUGUAAAACCUGGGGCAUGAGCCCCGUGGAGUAGCCUCGUGUAGAUCUUAGUGGUAGUAGCAAAUAUUCAAAUGAGAACAUUGAAUGCUAAAAAGGGGAAAAGUUCCAUGUGAAUUGCACUUGCACAUGGGUUAGUCGAUCCUAAGAGAUGGGGAAAGCACAUUUGAUAGUGUGUCCAAUGUGAGCUUUAAAAGGAAAUCGAGUUAAAAUUCCUGAACCAGGAUGCAUAGGCUGACGGCAAUAUUAGGUAGUCUAAAGGUGUUGAAAGGGGCCUUAGGAAGAGUUAUCUUUUCUAUCUAUGGCCUACCCACCCUAGGAAUGGCUCAACUUAAGGUAGGGUCCAGCAAUCAAAAGAGCAUCACAUGUCACCCUUGAAAAUCUGGAGGACCGAGUGCUCUCCAUGCUCAGUCAUAUUCAUAAUUGCAUCACUCUUUAAGGAGAAUAGCCUCUAGUCAAUGGAACAAUGUAGGCACGGGAAAUCGGCAAAAUGGAUCCAUAACCUCAAGAAAAGGAUUGGCUUUAAGGGCCAGGCACGGGGUCCUAAUCCCAAACUCAUCGGCUGUCGAUGCACUACUCGAGCUGCUCUCUUGGCAACAGUGUGUACCGAUCAAGGAUGGACUUGGAAAGGUUUCCUUGAGGGCUUUCCCUAGGCAAUGAAUAGUCGACUCAGAAUUGAUAUGGAUAAGGGGAAUGUAACUAUUUAAUUAAAACAAAGCAUUACAACGGUCGCUACGAAUACUCAUGCAAUGUGAUUUCUACCCAAUGCUCUAAAUGUCAAAGUGAAAAACUCAACCAAGUGAAGGUAAAUGACAGGACUAACUAUGACUUUCUUAUGGUAGCCAAAUGCCUCGUCAUCUAAUUAGUGAGCACAUGAAUGGAUUAACACAAUUCCCAUUGUCCUUGUCUACUAUCCAAUGAAACCACAAUCAAAGGAAUGGGCUUGGUAGAAUCAGUAGGGAAAGAAGACCCUAUUCAGCUUGACUCUAGUCCAACCUUUUGAAAUGAAUUGAGAGGUGUAGGAUAAGUGGAAGCCUUAAGUCAAAAUUGAAAUACCAUAACUUUUAACAUUAUUUUACUUAUUCCAUGAAUCAAAGGCAGGGCAAAACCCCUUCUAUUUGGCCUAAGACUAACCUUGAUCGAUUGAUUAUGGUAAAAGACAUUGUCAGGUGGGGAGUUUGGCUAGGGUAGCACAUCUAUUAAAAGAUAAUGCAGGUGUCCUAAGAUGAGCUCAACGAGAAUAGAAAUCUCAUAUGGAACAAAAGGAUAAAAGCUCGUUUGAUUUUGAUUUCCAGUAUGAAUAAACUAUGAAAGUGUGGCCUGUUAAUCUCAUAGACCUUCAGAAUUUGAAGCUAGAGUUGUCAAAAAAGUUAUUAGAAGGAUAACUGGCUUAUGGUAGACAAGUGUUCAUAGUGAUGUUGCUUUUUUAUCCUUCAAUGUUGGCUUUUCCUAUCAUUGUGAAGCAAAAUUCACCAAGUGUUGGAUUGUUCACCCACCAAUAAGGAAUGUGAGCUACGUUUACACCGUAAUGAGAUAGGUUAGUUUUACCAUACUAAUGGCAGUGUCACAAUAAUAAUUCAACCUAAUAUGAGAAGAACUGUUGAUUCACGCAUUUGGUUGUCCCACUUGGUUGAAAAGCUAGUGGCAUGAAGCUACCAUUUGCUUGAUUAUGAAUGAAUGCCUCUACAUUAGAAUCUAGGUUAGAAGGGACACAUGCAUCUAUCACCCAACUAUCGACUAGUAGUAGGGGCCUAUGCCUUGAAGGGCACAUGUCAUAGGUGUAGCACCCAUAGCAAACAAGCCAUACAAGCUUCCUUAGAGCUUAAUUCCCAUCGAG